Coturnix japonica (Japanese quail) is the source of this 3486-nucleotide non-coding RNA. Lineage: Eukaryota; Metazoa; Chordata; Aves; Galliformes; Phasianidae. The record is from RefSeq and is a predicted model, not a curated record.
UGUUUAUAUGCUCCCUUCAAACAUUAGAAGACCACAGUGAGGUCUCCCCUAAGCCUUCUCUUUUCCAAGCUAUAUUUGCCAUAAAUAGAUUAUGGAGAGAACACUGUUGAUGCAAAGGGACUUGAAAUAGUGGGCUGAUUUUUUUUGUUUGUUUGAAAGAAUUUGUCCUAAGGAAAACAAAAUAACCUCCCUUAACAUUUUGAUUGCUGCAGUUGUGUUCUGGAAUAUGAUGGCAAAUGUAUUAACUAGGUUAGGAGAUGUAGUGAUAAAAAUAAAUCCAUAUGAUGAAGAAAAGGGGUUGUGGACUGCGAUCAGUGGCAGUUGGAGCAGAAGGAACAAUUGUGUUUGUGCCAGUGCUCACACACCUACACACACACCUCACACACUACACAUCCCACAUGGAGUGGGAACCAAGCGGCAGAAAGGAAAUGCUGCAGUGGUAAAGCACCUAUUUGCUUCUUCACAAGCCCUGCUUCCUGCACAUCGCUGGUUAUUGGGAGCGCUGCCAUUUCAGAGCAGAUUUGUAUCUGCCUUUAAGUCCUGUAUACAUUGUUUUCAUGGCAGACUUCAGAACACUUUCAGUUACAAGAACAGGCUGUUCCUGCCACGUUCUGUUCCACCAAAGCAUGUUACGAAAGUGAGAUAGACCCAAUUUUACUGCAUAUUAGUCCAUGUUCCCAUCAGCCAUGGCUUCCCAUAGCGAAAGGACCUUCUGGAACUGAACCCAAUACCAGUUUUACAUGUCUGAGUGCUUAAGCCACCAGUAUUCCAGUAGACUUCACAUACUGAGAGCACCUGCAAGCCCUUAGUGGGAGGGGGAAGACCUUCCUUCUAUGUUUCACAGCAUGAAAAGGGCUGGAAAUCCUGUAUGCAGUUCUCAGGCUCUGAACUGUUCCUCUUGUCUACGUUUCUGAGCUGCUCUGAGGCACCAGUGUUGGUGGACUUCAGUGCUGCAGCAGCAUCCUCAGCAGGCACAGGAGCCCAGAGCAGUGCUGAGCCAUGAUCAGUGGCAUUGCUGUUUCUUAGAGCUGAUUUUGUGGCUUUUCCCCAGCAGAAGGAAUUGAGGUCAUUUUGCCCCAGAGGUUGGUGCUGUACUAAGAGAGCACUGAGAUCACAAUGCCUCAAAGGGCUUCUAAGGCCCUUGGUUCCCUGAUGCUCCUGUCAACUAAAGCAGUGUUCCUAACCUCGUUUUGCCAGCAGGAUGUACAAGUUAUUUUAAAUAGUGUAACCGAUCUGGCUGGGUUACACCCAAUGUAGAGACACAUGGAAAGCUGAAGCUUCUCUUCAGCGCCUGCCCAGAGGUCCUGGCUGGGGACUGAGGGAACGAGCUGCAGCGUGCAGGGCUGGUGUGUGUGUGUGUGUGCAGGGUCUGGAGGGGCUGAGUGCGAUCAAACGGCUUUGAAAACUCCUGUGGCAGCCAAGUUCCGGGCGAUCUAAAAAGUAACGAUGGUGUAACAUCAGCCUCUGCGAAACGUCAACCGGAAUACCGGGUGCACAUUGUACCUUGAGCUACUUCAUUGCUUUGAAUUGCUGUUUUGAUGUGCGUCUGUCCUGGCGGGCAGGCGGGACUGCAGGUGGGAACGGUGUGUUUGUAAAUGAGGAGGGCGUUCAUAUUGCCGAACUGGGGAAGAUCUGCUCCCUGUUGCGCCGUGUCCUCCCGCAGCCCUGCCCUGCCCUGCCCACACGCGUGGCCCCUCCGAGGUGACACCGCCGAGCGCAGGGGGCGGCUGCGGGGAGAGCAGUGUCGGUCGCAGCCCCGCUGCCUCCCGCUGUGCCCUGCCCGCUGCUCCACUGCCGCCAGAGCUCUGCCUGCUCCACGCUCAGCCCCGCCGCCCAGCUUCAGCCCGGUGUCCGCUGCCCGGUCGGGGAUUGCUUUGCUUUCUCUCCAGGUGGCUGAGUGCUGUUGUUUCGGGGCUGGUGUUCUUCGUCUCAGCACAGGAACGCUGUAUCAUCUUGGAGUAUGGAAAUCGUAUGGAAGAGAAGGUGGUAUCUUCAGUUGGGCUGCGUACUGAUAAUGAACCUGGUUUAUGCCAAUCUAGACUAUCUGAAAGAAGCUCCUGCAAGCCUGGGUCAGAUUGACCACCAGUGCUGGGAGGUGUCGUCCCAUGGGCUGGUGGAAAUGAAGAAACUCAAGGUAGCAGAUCCGGUCAUUGCUCUCUGGGACUUCAUGUUAUUCCUAAAGGAAUCCCCCAAGCCCAAACACAAUGAACUUUUCAAUGAUCUGGCCCAGAACUUUUGGGAUAUGUAUGUAGACUGUGUGCUCUCAAGAUCCCAUGGAAUGGGCAGAAGACAAUUAGUAUCUCCCAGAUACUCUUCUACAUACUCACAUAGAACUUUAGAAGGUAACUAUAGGAUAUGAUGUUGGUCUGUUAUCUCCUGCUAUUAAACCAGACCACUGUCUCAUCCUCAUCCUUGGUUGUUCCAACAGUACAAUAUAUUAAUUUCCAGUUUUCUGUCUCUGCAUGUCAAAUGUAUUUGCAUCCUUCAGCAGUAGCUACUUUCACAAUAUACAAGUCAAAAGUUGUUAGAGCACUAAAUUUCUGUAUGAGGUAUAAAUAAUGACAGGUAUAUAUGUGGGACGGUGUGUAAGUAGAUGCUGCAUGCUCUGUUUAUCACCGUGUGCACAUGAAUGAUGUUACAAUACUAACAGUUUUCUAGUCAGUCUCAACUUCAGAGAAUCAUCCCUCUGUGAGAAGGGAAGCACACAGCUCCAGCAGUUUAAACCUUGCACUUCUCAUUGAUAUGAAAUGUGAGCUCAUGGUCACUGAAUCACCGAAGCGAUAGAUUCCAGUCAUCCUGGUUGGGAUGAACCUGAAUUGAGAUCAUACAGGAUUAUUAUCCAGCCCUAGAUCUAUUAUCUUCCUUCUUCCUCUGCAACAGACAUAUAUGUUUUCUUCCCCGAUUAACCAGUCAAACACUUUAGGUUUCCAAACUGAAAUGGAGAUCAUUUAAUCCCAGCACUCCAAGCCACAAUGCUUGGAAAAUAACUGCCUUUCUCUCAUAAUCUUACAGGGUCUUCUUUGAACAACCCAUUUUAGGUCAAAAGGGGAGGACACAAAGAGAUACCUCAACAAAGUAAUGUCAAAAUGAAGGAGGACAGAAAGCACAGCAUUUCCUGUAGAUGCUUAGACAAAUCAAUUGAUGUGGUUCAACUUUCUUUUUCUAUAUUAAGUUUGAUGGAAACCCAAUAUAUUUUUAUACAUUAAGCAACAGAGAAAAUGUCCACAUGUGUAUUUUAUAAACUGUGUUGUAAGUACAAUCAACUUUAGUGGUAAGAAUUGCAAAGAAGCGUGAUGCCAAGUUGAAGGGAAGGUUUAUAUUCAUUGUAAUGUCUUGUGCAGCCUAAGCUUUGUAUUUUACCAUUGCUUAGACUAGGCUAUGGAUUAAUUAAAAUAUUUUUCUAUGCAGCAGGGUCUGUAUAAUAGUCAUUUCCUUGCCUAUUAAUGCAGUAUUUGCAGAAACACCAUUACACUGCUUUAAGAAAGA